RNAcentral lists this ribosomal RNA (254 nucleotides) under uncultured bacterium. Its description in RNAcentral is "partial 16S ribosomal RNA". It matches the Rfam family "Bacterial small subunit ribosomal RNA", at positions 524 to 776 of the family's 1533-position model. The record is from RNAcentral.
CACGUAGGGGGCAAGCGUUGUCCGGAUUUACUGGGCGUAAAGGGCGCGUAGGCGGUCAGCACAAGUCAGUUGUGAAAUCUCCGGGCUUAACUCGGAAAGGUCAACUGAUACUGUGCGACUAGAGUGCAGAAGGGGCAACUGGAAUUCUCGGUGUAGCGGUGAAAUGCGUAGAUAUCGAGAGGAACACCUGCGGCGAAGGCGGGUUGCUGGGCUGACACUGACGCUGAUGCGCGAAAGCCAGGGGAGCGAACGGG